Non-coding RNA from Xylariaceae sp. FL0594, 83 nucleotides. The record is from the annotation of a GenBank genome assembly. Lineage: Eukaryota; Fungi; Ascomycota; Sordariomycetes; Xylariales; Xylariaceae.
GGUUGUAUAGUAUAGUGGUCAGUACGGCUCGUUGUGGAGGGACAAUACCCGAGCAGACUCAGGUUCGAUUCCUGAUACAGCCA